Molecule: ribosomal RNA, 497 nt
Filed under: uncultured bacterium
Lineage: Bacteria
Description: partial 16S ribosomal RNA
Rfam family: Bacterial small subunit ribosomal RNA
Source: RNAcentral
GAUGAACGCUGGCGGCGUGCCUAAUACAUGCAAGUCGAGCGAACAGACGAGGUGCUUGCUCCUCUGACGUUAUCGGCGGACGGGUGCGUCACACGUGGAUAACCUACCUCUCCGACUGGGAUAACUUCAGGAAACAAGAGCUACUACCGGAUAAUAUAUUGCACCGCAUGGUUCAAUAGUUAAAUACGGUUUUGCUGUCACUUAUAGCUGAAUCCGCGCCGCAUUAGCUAGUUGGUACGGUAAAGGCUUACCAAGGCAACGAUGCGUAACCGACCUGAGAGCGUGGACGGCCAGCUGGUAACUGAGAAACGGUCCAGACACCGACGGGAAGCAGCAGUAGGGAAUCUUCCGCGAUGGGCGAAAGCCGGACGGAGCAACGCCGCGUGAGGGAUGAAGGUCUAAGGAUCGGAAAACUCUGUUAUUAGGGAAGAACAAAUGUGUAAGUAACUAUGCACGUCUUGACGGUACCGAAUCAGAAAGCCACGGCUAACUACGUG